AGGACGAACGCUGGCGGCGUGCUUAACACAUGCAAGUCGAACGAGGCUGAUCCAAGUCGCAAGACUUGGUGACUGCCGAGUGGCGAACGGGUGAGUAACACGUGAGCAACCUGCCCCGAAGACCGGGAUAACAGCGGGAAACCGCUGCUAAUACCGGAUGUCCCCAUCGGACCACAUGGCCUGAUGAGGAAAUGGAUUCCGCUUCGGGAGGGACUCGCGGCCUAUCAGCUUGUUGGUGAGGUAACGGCCCACCAAGGCGACGACGGGUAGCUGGUCUGAGAGGACGAUCAGCCACACUGGGACUGAGACACGGCCCAGACUCCUACGGGAGGCAGCAGUGAGGAAUUUUCCGCAAUGGGCGAAAGCCUGACGGAGCGACGCCGCGUGCACGAGGAAGGUCUUCGGAUCGUAAAGUGCUGUCGAGGGGGACGAUUAUGACGGUACCCUGGAGGAAGCCCCGGCUAACUACGUGCCAGCAGCCGC
Molecule: ribosomal RNA, 483 nt
Filed under: uncultured bacterium
Lineage: Bacteria
Description: SSU rRNA
Rfam family: Bacterial small subunit ribosomal RNA
Source: RNAcentral